AGGAAUCUGCCUAUUAGUGGGGGACAACAUCUCGAAGGGGAUGCUAAUACCGCAUACGUCCUACGGGAGAAAGCAGGGGAUCACUUGUGACCUUGCGCUAAUAGAUGAGCCUAAGUCGGAUUAGCUAGUUGGUGGGGUAAAGGCCUACCAAGGCGACGAUCUGUAGCGGGUCUGAGAGGAUGAUCCGCCACACUGGGACUGAGACACGGCCCAGACUCCUACGGGAGGCAGCAGUGGGGAAUAUUGGACAAUGGGGGGAACCCUGAUCCAGCCAUGCCGCGUGUGUGAAGAAGGCCUUAUGGUUGUAAAGCACUUUAAGCGAGGAGGAGGCUCUUUUGGUUAAUACCCAGAAUGAGUGGACGUUACUCGCAGAAUAAGCACCGGCUAACUCUGUGCCAGCAGCCGCGGUAAUACAGAGGGUGCAAGCGUUAAUCGGAUUUACUGGGCGUAAAGCGCGCGUAGGCGGCCAAUUAAGUCAAAUGUGAAAUCCCCGAGCUUAACUUGGGAAUUGCAUUCGAUACUGGUUGGCUAGAGUGUGGGAGAGGAUGGUAGAAUUCCAGGU
RNAcentral lists this ribosomal RNA (562 nucleotides) under uncultured bacterium. Its description in RNAcentral is "bacterial SSU rRNA". It matches the Rfam family "Bacterial small subunit ribosomal RNA", at positions 119 to 674 of the family's 1533-position model. The record is from RNAcentral.